CUGUGAGAGCAAAGGCGUCCUGCAUCGGGAUGUGAAGCCAAGCAACAUCUUGAUAAACACCAAGACGCUACAAGUGAAGCUGAUUGACUUCGGCUGUGGAGAUAUUUUCAAGGACGAGUCAUACACUGAUUUUGCAGACUUCCAGCAUUUAAUUCGGUGGUGCCUGUUGCUUGACCCAUUGGACCAGCCAACAGUGGAUCAAAUUAUGCUUCAUCCAUGGCUACAGCAGUACAAGCCAAAGGCCUGAGGGUUCUACACCAGCUGGAGGCAAGUGAAAAGUACCCAUGGUGCACAGUAUCUGAGCGGCUUCUUUUAUUCAAAGAUUUUCAGGCCAACAGAGAUUCAAGCUGCCUAUCUAACAAAGUGACGUUUUCCAUGCGUGCAGCAUCCUUAGAGGAUCUCUACACCAAAGGGGCACUACUUGGAAAAGGAGGGUUUGGCACAGUAUUUGCAGGGAUAAGAAAGACUGAUGGGAUGCCGGUGGCCAUCAAAUACAUCCCCAAGGAGAAAUGUACUAAGCAGCUAAGGAUGCCUGGACAAGAGAAGCCACUCCCCAGAGAGGUGGCUUUGAUGGUGCACUUAAGCCUAGAGCCAACUUGUCCUACCAUUCUAAAGCUUAUUGAAUGGUUUGACUUGCCCAGCGAGUACAUGUUGGCGAUGGAAAGACCUGAGCCAUGCAUGGAUCUGCAGGAAUACUUCAGGAGCCAAGGGGGCUUCCUUAGUGAGGAGGUGGCGCGGCAUGUGCUCCUGCAGCUGCUCGAAGCCCUGGGACACUGUGAGAGCAAAGGCGUCCUGCAUCGGGAUGUGAAGCCAAGCAACAUCUUGAUAAACACCAAGACGCUACAAGUGAAGCUGAUUGACUUCGGCUGUGGGGAGAUAUUUUCAAGGACGAGUCAUACAAUGCUUUUCCAGGUCCCCAACGACUGUUCCAUGUGAUUAUUAUAGGUGAUGCAUAGUAAAGUUUCAGCCAACAGAGAUUCUAGCUGCCUCUCUAACAAAGUGACGUUUUCCAUGCGUGCAGAUGAUGGGUGCAACACAUGUGCAGUAUAACAGGAAGCGCAGGGGGAGGGGAAUCUGGGAAAGAAGGCUCAUGACAGCACACUCUGGCAUAUGAAAUAUCAGUGCUGUCACACAAUUAAAGAUCUACUUGUCCAGAUGCUUGUUUUCCAUGUGACCUGUGGACAUCAAAGGUCUGUAAUUAAAAACUGACUUAGUAUAGUAGUAGCCCUUAAGAGUCAGUCACAUUUGAACUUAAAGUAAAUAUUUUUCAACAUCAGGCUAAAACACAGUAGCUCCCCCUUAUCCAUGGGGAGAUUGUUCCAAGACCCCCGGAAGAUGCCUGAAACUGCGGAUAGUACUUAACCCAAUAAAUACAAUUUUUUUACCAAGCUACCUGCGCUUUGCCGACGCACAGUCAACUCAUCCGCGCUGUAAAUGUGGGAUGUACGCAUAGAGACAACAUUACGUUAUCAGCUCACGUUUAGGAAAAUAACAGACUCUAAUCAAGAGAUCGGUACCCUUUUUAAAGCGAAUAGCCAUUUUAUCCUAAAUGUCUGACGCAGGAUUUACAAAGAGAGAGAAGAGGGUUUGAGAUAUGUUGUUUAAAUGUGAUAUUGGUAUAUGUCCAUUUAACACAAAAACAAAACUUCAAGCACUUACAAAAAAUAAAGAAAAACUAUUUCGGCACGAGGGGAGGCUCUUUUAAAUCACUCGGACGCGUAACAGCGCAAAGGUGACUAAUAUCACAAUAUUGUUCAGUUCUGUAGUGAUCAAAUCAUGUAGUUUCAAAUCAUUUUAAUGUAAUAUCAAAUAUAUUUUCCAAAUCAAAUUUAUGAAUGAAUGUUUAACACUGCCCUUUAAUGCAGUUUCUCUGCCCAGUCCUUUGUACCCACUGAACAGAUACACACUUGUGUUUUCUCCUAGCUAAGGUAAUUGUUUGCAUCAAUCCUUUUGCAUCAAAAAUUUGAAGGUUUUUCAAGUGAUGAAUAUUUUGAAAUUAGAAAACGUAACAGAAUCAGUCCGUCUCACAAGUUUGAGCGUUUUUUUCUGGAUUAAACAUACAAACUGCGUUCUCAAAGUUUUUUCCGCGCGGUUUUAUUCCUGUCUACUAAUAUCCAGGAUUUCGAAGCUUUUUUUCGUGCGAGUAAUACAAACUUAGCUCUACAUUUUAAAACGUAUCCUUUAAUUAAAUUAGUCCUUUAUUUAAUGUUUAGAUUCUAAAACAAAGAUUUACAGCUGGCGACACCAAACGUGAGCAUUUGCAGCUUAGAUAGCAUUUUUCAUGACAAGUUAUCCAUUUGAUUUUCUUUGAAAAUGAUCGUAUACAUAUAUAACAAAACAGAAUUUUUCGUUUUGGAGAUGUUUCAGAUACGUGGAAUAAAUAAAAUAGCGUGAGUUGCGUAUACAGUACUGUAUGCUUCUGUGAACUGUAAUGUGAUUGAUAUGUCGUUAUAAUUCAGCUAUGAGAAGGGUUACGCUUGUAUUCGUGAUGCUGUGGGGUGUACAUGCGUAAGCUGUCUGUAGCGCUUUAUGUUAACUGUGUGACUUGUAGGGCUGUCAACCAGAAAAAA
This is an RNA transcript of Brienomyrus brachyistius, 2570 nucleotides long. It is a transcript of the gene named serine/threonine-protein kinase pim-2-like, with no coding region annotated. The transcript is spliced from 9 exons. The record is from RefSeq and is a predicted model, not a curated record. NCBI's taxonomy places the organism in Eukaryota, Metazoa, Chordata, Actinopteri, Osteoglossiformes, Mormyridae.